Molecule: ribosomal RNA, 278 nt
Filed under: uncultured bacterium
Lineage: Bacteria
Description: partial 16S ribosomal RNA
Rfam family: Bacterial small subunit ribosomal RNA
Source: RNAcentral
AACGAACGCUGGCGGCAUGCCUAACACAUGCAAGUCGAACGAGACCUUCGGGUCUAGUGGCGCACGGGUGCGUAACGCGUGGGAAUCUGCCCAUGGGUCCGGAAUAACUCGCCGAAAGGCGUGCUAAUACCGGAUGAUGUCGUAAGACCAAAGAUUUAUCGCCCAGGGAUGAGCCCGCGUAAGAUUAGGUAGUUGGUGGGGUAACGGCUCACCUAGGCGACGAUCCCUAGUUGGUCUGAGAGGAUGACCAGCCACACUGGAACUGAGACACGGUCCAG